AUUGAACGCUGGCGGCAUGCCUUACACAUGCAAGUCGAACGGCAGCAUGGAAGAGCUUGCUCUUCUGAUGGCGAGUGGCGAACGGGUGAGUAAAGCAUCGGAACGUACCGUGUAGUGGGGGAUAACGUAGCGAAAGUUACGCUAAUACCGCAUACGAUCUACGGAUGAAAGCGGGGGAUCGCAAGACCUCGCGCGAUUGGAGCGGCCGAUAUCAGAUUAGGUAGUUGGUGGGGUAAAGGCUCACCAAGCCAACGAUCUGUAGCUGGUCUGAGAGGACGACCAGCCACACUGGAACUGAGACAACGGUCCAGACUCCUACGGGAGGCAGCAGUGGGGAAUUUUGGGACAAUGGACGCAAGUCUGAUCCAGCCAUUCCGCGUGCAGGAUGAAAGGCCCUCGGGUUGUAAACUGCUUUGUACGGAACGAAAAGGUUUCUAUUAAUACUAGGAGCUCAUGACGGUACCGUAAGAAUAAG
Molecule: ribosomal RNA, 475 nt
Filed under: uncultured bacterium
Lineage: Bacteria
Description: bacterial SSU rRNA
Rfam family: Bacterial small subunit ribosomal RNA
Source: RNAcentral